AAAGAAAGUAAGCAAGGGCGCAUGGCGGAUGCCUUGGCUCUCGGAGGCGAUGAAGGACGUGAUAAGCUGCGAUAAGCUUCGGGCAGGUGCAAAUAACCUUUGAUCCGAAGAUUUCCGAAUGGGACAACCCGUCAUUCUGAAGGAAUGACAUCUUGCAUAGCAAGAGGCUAACGCAGGGAACUGAAACAUCUUAGUACCUGUAGGAAAAGAAAAUAAUAAUGAUUCCCCUAGUAGUGGCGAGCGAACGGGGAUUAGCCCAAACCAAUGUUGUUACGGCAAUAUUGGGGUUGUAGGACCACGAUGUCGCAAGAAAUUUAGUGAGAAGAACCCUUUGGAAAAUGGGACCAUAGACGGUGAUAGUCCGGUAUUCGAAGCUAAAUGAAGCGUAGUGGUAUCCUGAGUAGCGCGGGACACGAGGAAUCUUGCGUGAAUCUGCCGGGACCAUCCGGUAAGGCUAAAUACUCCCGAGAGACCGAUAGCGAACCAGUACUGUGAAGGAAAGGUGAAAAGCACUUCGAAUAGAAGAGUGAAAUAGUCCCUGAAACCGUGCGCCUACAAGCGGUCGGAGCAGCGUAAGUUGUGACGGCGUGCCUUUUGCAUAAUGAACCUACGAGUUACUUUUUCCGGCAAGGUUAAGCAUUUUAAAAUGUGUAGCCGAAGCGAAAGCGAGUCUGAACAGGGCGAUUAGUCGGAAGGAGUAGACGCGAAACCAAGUGAUCUACCCUUGGUCAGGUUGAAGGUUAGGUAACACUAACUGGAGGACCGAACCGAUAAGCGUUGAAAAGCUUCCGGAUGAACUGNAUCUUAGUACCUGCAGGAAAAGAAAAUAAUAAUGAUUCCCCAAGUAGUGGCGAGCGAACGGGGAUUAGCCCAAACCAAUGUUGUUACGGCAAUAUUGGGGUUGUAGGACCACGAUAUCGCAAGAAAUUUAGUGAGAAGAAUUCUUUGGAAAAUGAAACCAUAGACGGUGAUAGUCCGGUAUUCGAAGCUAAAUGAAGCGUAGUGGUAUCCUGAGUAGCGCGGGACACGAGGAAUCUUGCGUGAAUCUGCCGGGACCAUCCGGUAAGGCUAAAUACUCCCGAGAGACCGAUAGCGAACCAGUACUGUGAAGGAAAGGUGAAAAGCACUUCGAAUAGAAGAGUGAAAUAGUCCCUGAAACCGUGCGCCUACAAGCGGUCGGAGCUGCUUCAGCAGUGACGGCGUGCCUUUUGCAUAAUGAACCUACGAGUUACUUUUUCCGGCAAGGUUAAGGAUCUUGAGAUCCGCAGCCGAAGCGAAAGCGAGUCUUAACAGGGCGAUUAGUCGGAAGGAGUAGACGCGAAACCAAGUGAUCUACCCUUGGUCAGGUUGAAGGUUAGGUAACACUAACUGGAGGACCGAACCGAUAAGCGUUGAAAAGCUUCCGGAUGAACUGAGGGUGGGGGUGAAAGGCUAAUCAAACUUGGAGAUAGCUCGUACUCCCCGAAAUGCAUUUAGGUGCAGCCUUGGGAAUUACUACUGUGAGGUAGAGCGACUGAUAAGAUGCGAGGGCUUCACCGCCUAUCAAGUCUUGAUAAACUCCGAAUGCGCAGUAGUUCGAUCCCAGGAGUGAGGGCAUGGGUGCUAAGGUCCAUGUCCUAAAGGAGAAGAAUCCGGACCAUCAGCUAAGGUCCCGAAAUAAUUGCUAAGUUGAACUAACGAAGUCAGAUUGCUAAGACAGCUAGGAUGUUGGCUUGGAAGCAGCCAUUCAUUUAAAGAGUGCGUAACAGCUCACUAGUCGAGGAGUUUGGCGUGGAUAAUAAUCGGGCAUUAAGCAAUUUACCGAAGCUAUGGGAUCCGUAAGGAUCGGUAGGGGAGCAUUCCACUCUGCGUCGAAGGUGAAGCGUGAGCUUUGCUGGAGCGUGUGGAAAAGCAAAUGUAGGUAUAAGUAACGAUAAAGGGGGUGAGAAACCCCCUCGCCGAAAGACUAAGGUUUCCUGAUCAACGCUAAUCGGAUCAGGGUUAGUCGGGUCCUAAGGCUCAGCCGAACGGUGAGGCCGAUGGCAGAACAGGUUAAUAUUCCUGUACUACCUUAAGGAGUGACGUGGAGACGGAGCAGUGACAGCGCCGCGGACUGACGGAAUAGUCCGUUGAAGGGUGUAGAUGUUGAUUAUCCCAGGCAAAUCCGGGAUAAGAGUCGAACCUGAUAGUAUACCAAAUUCUUCGGAAUAAGGUAAUAGUGCGUGUAAGCAUACUCCCAAGAAAAUCCGCUAAACUUAAUCUUUAAGGUACCCGUACCGCAAACGGACACACGUAGUCGGGUUGAAUAUACUAAGGCGCUUGAGUGAUUCACGGUUAAGGAACUAGGCAAAUUGACCCUGUAACUUCGGGAUAAAGGGUCCCAACGAGAGUUGGGCGCAGAGAAUAGGUCCAGGCAACUGUUUAACAAAAACACAGGGCUGUGCUAAAUUGAAAGAUUACGUAUACAGCCUGACACCUGCCCGGUGCUGGAAGGUUAAGAGGAGAUGUCAUCGCAAGAGAAGCAUUGAAUUGAAGCCCCAGUAAACGGCGGCCGUAACUAUAACGGUCCUAAGGUAGCGAAAUUCCUUGUCGGGUAAGUUCCGACCUGCACGAAUGGUGUAAUGAUCUGGACACUGUCUCAACCGUGAGCUCAGUGAAAUUGUAGUAUCGGUGAAGAUGCCGAUUACCCGCGAUGGGACGAAAAGACCCCGUGAACCUUUACUAUAGCUUAACAUUGAAUUUGGGUAAUUGAUGUGUAGGAUAGGCCGGAGACUUCGAAGCAGGUACGCCAGUAUUUGUGGAGUCGCUGUUGAAAUACGGCCCUUUGAUUAUUUGAGUUCUAACUCGUAGAUGCGAGGACACUGUUUGGUGGGUAGUUUGACUGGGGUGGUCGCCUCCAAAAGUGUAACGGAGGCUUCUAAAGGUGCCCUCAGGACGAUUGGUAACCGUCCGUAGAGUGUAAUGGCAUAAGGGCGCUUGACUGGGAGACAGACAAGUCGAUCAGGUAGGAAACUAGAGCAUAGUGAUCCGGUGUUUCCGCAUGGAAGGGACAUCGCUCAAAGGAUAAAAGGUACUCCGGGGAUAACAGGCUGAUCCCUCCCAAGAGCUCAUAUCGACGGAGGGGUUUGGCACCUCGAUGUCGGCUCGUCACAUCCUGGGGCUGGAGAAGGUCCCAAGGGUUGGGCUGUUCGCCCAUUAAAGUGGCACGCGAGCUGGGUUCAGAACGUCGUGAGACAGUUCGGUCUCUAUCUAUCGUGGGCGUAUGAAAUUUGCGUGGCUCUGACACUAGUACGAGAGGACCGUGUUGGACUGACCGCUGGUUUACCAGUUGUGCCGCCAGGUGCAUCGCUGGGUAUCUAAGUCGGGAUUGGAUAAGUGCUGAAAGCAUCUAAGUACGAAGCCAGCCACAAGAUUAGAUUUCUUAGGGUCGUCAAAGACGAUGACGUUGAUAGGAUGCAGGUGUAAAGGUGGUAACAUCAAAGCCGAGCAUUACUAAUUGCCCGUUCACUUUCUUU
RNAcentral lists this ribosomal RNA (3494 nucleotides) under Bacteroides ovatus. RNAcentral's name for it is "23S ribosomal RNA". It matches the Rfam family "Bacterial large subunit ribosomal RNA". Lineage: Bacteria; Pseudomonadati; Bacteroidota; Bacteroidia; Bacteroidales; Bacteroidaceae. The record is from RNAcentral.